GGUAGUGACGAGAGAGAGGAAGAUCAUUUAAAAAACAAGAUCCUGACUAUUACUAGAGGACUUUCUCCAAGCCGUUUCGCCACUUGGUUUAAAUCUGGAGCAGCAAACCUGUGUUCCAGAAUCUGGGGUGGAGGACCCCUACCUGACAUGUGACUGGGUGGGGGGGGUCAGAGGUGGUGGCAGACAGACGGAGAGAGAGAGAGAGAGAGAGAGAGAGAGAGAGAAGAA
Coregonus clupeaformis (lake whitefish) is the source of this 228-nucleotide long non-coding RNA. RefSeq lists it as uncharacterized. The transcript has 2 exons. The record is from RefSeq and is a predicted model, not a curated record. NCBI's taxonomy places the organism in Eukaryota, Metazoa, Chordata, Actinopteri, Salmoniformes, Salmonidae.